Molecule: ribosomal RNA, 497 nt
Filed under: uncultured bacterium
Lineage: Bacteria
Description: partial 16S ribosomal RNA
Rfam family: Bacterial small subunit ribosomal RNA
Source: RNAcentral
GAUGAACGCUGGCGGCGUGCCUAAUACAUGCAAGUCGAGCGAACGGACGAGAAGCUUGCUUCUCUGAUGUUAGCGGCGGACGGGUGAGUAACACGUGGAUAACCUACCUAUAAGACUGGGAUAACUUCGGGAAACCGGCGCUAAUACCGGAUAAUAUUUUGAACCGCAUGGUUCAAAAGUGAAAGACGGUCUUGCUGUCACUUAUAGAUGGAUCCGCGCUGCAUUAGCUAGUUGGUAAGGUAACGGCUUACCAAGGCAACGAUGCAUAGCCGAACUGAGAGGGUGAUCGGCCACACUGGAACUGAGACACAGUCCAGACUCCUACGGGAGGCAGCAGUAGGGAAUCGUCCGCAAUGGGCGAAAGCCUGACGGAGCAACGCCGCGUGAGAGAUGAAGGUCUUCGGAUCGUAAAACUCUGUUAUGAGGGAAGAACAGAUGUGUAAGUAACUGUGCACAUCUUGACGGUAACUAAUCAGAAAGCCACGGCUAACUACGUG